AUGGAGGUUCUUCAAGUUUCCGUUCCGUUCGACCAGUUCUUCAUGUGCUCAAAAUCUGGCCUAAACUUGUUUUAUGAACGACCUAUUGCAAAAUACCAGCAACAUGAUUCACAGUAAUUACCUACCUCAAGGAUAAUUGACGGUUUAUACCAAAGUUUGAAUCGGAUUUUGAAGAAGCCUUACAUUCAACUCAGGACGCUGACGGACGUUCAGAUGCGGAAGUAGCACGUGAACGUUGGGAAAAUUAUCAUAAACCGAACGAUUCUAUAACAGUAGAACCCUUUCAUGGUAUGUUGAAGUUGACCUUGGCGUAUCCGGAAUGCAACAAGGUCCCGGUUAUCUUUGACUCGAUUUUAUAAUUAUCGCUGCUAAUGCUAGUCUAAAAAAGAAAGACCAAUUGGGUUUUAUCCGACUCCUUAGACUCUGUGCAGAAGGCUAUGAGCUAUCGAGUGAUUUUUGUACAGAAAUGGGUACAAUCCCAGUUUAGAUUGAAGCCUUAUCUAAGCUCUGCGGAAUUCCAGCCUAUCACACAAUUGUAGCCGGUGUCCUUCAACCGUGUACUUGUGCGUAAAAAGGAGAGAAAACAAGGAAUAGUUACGGCCACGGUUGCAUAAUCGAUGUUCGCUUCAUGUUUCAAGGGGCUCGCGAAGGAAUGGAUCGUGAUCAAUUAUACCGAUACCAAGUGACACGUAUAAAACGUUAUCUAAAAACGUCAGAUUACCAGGUUCUGACAGGACUGUCAUCGGAUGUUAUCACAGAUAUAUCGUCUAAAAAUCUACCGUCGGUGAAAGUAAAAUGGACACCGAAGAUGGCGAUAUGCCAUACGAAAACGGCUAUGAACUUCCUAGUUUGGAGUUCGAAGGAUAGAUUCUGUUGUAAAAGCUUCGCCAACUCGUCAACUUGAGCGGAAAUUCGAGACUUGGAAAAAUGAAGAAAAAUGGAAAGCCAAUUACGCUUGCCGGUAACUUCGAUAUUCCUAGGUAA
Daphnia magna is the source of this 984-nucleotide RNA transcript. It is a transcript of the gene named ubiquitin carboxyl-terminal hydrolase 15, with no coding region annotated. The record is from RefSeq and is a predicted model, not a curated record. The transcript is spliced from 3 exons. NCBI's taxonomy places the organism in Eukaryota, Metazoa, Arthropoda, Branchiopoda, Diplostraca, Daphniidae.